UACAUUCGUGUGAUUUAACAAACUGGUUUCU
RNAcentral lists this non-coding RNA (31 nucleotides) under Homo sapiens (human). The record is from RNAcentral. Lineage: Eukaryota; Metazoa; Chordata; Mammalia; Primates; Hominidae.